Non-coding RNA from Acanthosepion pharaonis, 109 nucleotides. NCBI's taxonomy places the organism in Eukaryota, Metazoa, Mollusca, Cephalopoda, Sepiida, Sepiidae. The record is from the annotation of a GenBank genome assembly.
AGCCAUAUCACAUUGAAAUGCCAGUUCCCAUAUGAUCACUGAAGUUAAGCAGCAUCAGGCCUUGUCAAUACUUAGAUGGGCGACUGCUUAGGAGUAGCAAGUGCUGUAA